GGACACUGUGAGGCCACCAUCCCUCUCUGAGGCUGAGGUUUAAUACACAGAGAAAGACUGGCUGGACACUGUGAGGCCACCAUCCCUCUCUGAGGCUGAGGUUUAAUACACAGAGAAAGACUGGCUGGACACUGUGAGGCCACCAUCCCUCUCUGAGGCUGAGGUUUAAUACACAGAGAAAGACUGGCUGGACACUGUGAGGCCACCAUCCCUCUCUGAGGCUGAGGUUUAAUACACAGAGAAAGACUGGCUGGACACUGUGAGGCCACCAUCCCUCUCUGAGGCUGAGGUUUAAUACACAGAGAAAGACUGGCUGGACACUGUGAGGCCACCAUCCCUCUCUGAGGCUGAGGUUUAAUACACAGAGAAAGACUGGCUGGACACUGUGAGGCCACCAUCCCUCUCUGAGGCUGAGGUUUAAUACACAGAGAAAGACUGGCUGGACACUGUGAGGCCACCAUCCCUCUCUGAGGCUGAGGUUUAAUACACAGAGAAAGACUGGCUGGACACUGUGAGGCCACCAUCCCUCUCUGAGGCUGAGGUUUAAUACACAGAGAAAGACUGGCUGGACACUGUGAGACCACCAUCCCUCUCUGAGGCUGAGGUUUAAUACACAGAGAAAGACUGGCUGGACACUGUGAGGCCACCAUCCCUCUCUGAGGCUGAGGUUUAAUACACAGAGAAAGACUGGCUGGACACUGUGAGACCACCAUCCCUCUCUGAGGCUGAGGUUUAAUACACAGAGAAAGACUGGCUGGACACUGUGAGGCCACCAUCCCUCUCUGAGGCUGAGGUUUAAUACACAGAGAAAGACUGGCUGGACACUGUGAGGCCACCAUCCCUCUCUGAGGCUGAGGUUUAAUACACAGAGAAAGACUGGCUGGACACUGUGAGGCCACCAUCCCUCUCUGAGGCUGAGGUUUAAUACACAGAGAAAGACUGGCUGGACACUGUGAGGCCAGGCUGAGGUUUAAUACACAGAGAAAGACUGGCUGGACACUGUGAGGCCACCAUCCCUCUCUGAGGCUGAGGUUUAAUACACAGAGAAAGACUGGCUGGACACUGUGAGGCCACCAUCCCUCUCUGAGGCUGAGGUUUAAUACACAGAGAAAGACUGGCUGGACACUGUGAGGCCACCAUCCCUCUCUGAGGCUGAGGUUUAAUACACAGAGAAAGACUGGCUGGACACUGUGAGGCCACCAUCCCUCUCUGAGGCUGAGGUUUAAUACACAGAGAAAGACUGGCUGGACACUGUGAGACCACCAUCCCUCUCUGAGGCUGAGGUUUAAUACACAGAGAAAGACUGGCUGGACACUGUGAGGCCACCAUCCCUCUCUGAGGCUGAGGUUUAAUACACAGAGAAAGACUGGCUGGACACUGUGAGGCCACCAUCCCUCUCUGAGGCUGAGGUUUAAUACACAGAGAAAGACUGGCUGGACACUGUGAGGCCACCAUCCCUCUCUGAGGCUGAGGUUUAAUACACAGAGAAAGACUGGCUGGAC
Oncorhynchus keta (chum salmon) is the source of this 1502-nucleotide long non-coding RNA. RefSeq lists it as uncharacterized. NCBI's taxonomy places the organism in Eukaryota, Metazoa, Chordata, Actinopteri, Salmoniformes, Salmonidae. The transcript has 4 exons. The record is from RefSeq and is a predicted model, not a curated record.